This is a non-coding RNA of Aedes aegypti (yellow fever mosquito), 117 nucleotides long. The record is from Rfam. NCBI's taxonomy places the organism in Eukaryota, Metazoa, Arthropoda, Insecta, Diptera, Culicidae.
UGCCCAGCAGCUCCUGUCCCUACCUCCUCGCGGUACUGGCCGGGUUACGAGUAACCUUGGGGAAGAUCGGGUAACCAAGCCCCAAUAAGAACUUUGGUCGAAUGCUGACAGGGAAGG